AGAGUUUGAUCCUGGCUCAGGAUGAACGCUAGCGGCAGGCUUAACGCAUGCAAGUCGAGGGUGAACAGGGAGCUUGCUCCGCUGACGACCGGCGCACGGGGGCGUAACGCGUAUAGAGCCCCUUUUACUGGAGAAUAGCCUUUAGAAAUGAAGAUUAAUGCUCCAUAGUAUUGCGACUCGGCAUCGGGUUGUAAUUAAAGAUUUAUUGGUAAAAGAUGGCUAUGCGUCCUAUUAGUUAGAUGGUAAGGUAACGGCUUACCAUGACAUCGAUAGGUAGGGGUCCUGAGAGGGAGAUCCCACACACUGGAACUGAGACACGGUCCAGACUCCUACGGGAGGCAGCAGUGAGGAAUAUUGGGCAAUGGAGGCAACUCUGACCCAGCCAUGCCGCGUGCAGGAAGACUGCCCUAUGGGUUGUAAACUGCUUUUAUACAGGAAGAAACACUCCCUCGUGAGGGAGCUUGACGGUACUGUAAGAAUAAGGAUCGGCUAACUCCGUGCCAGCAGCCGCGGUAAUACGGAGGAUCCAAGCGUUAUCCGGAAUCAUUGGGUUUAAAGGGUCCGUAGGUGGAUAAUUAAGUCAGAGGUGAAAUCCUGCAGCUCAACUGUAGAAUUGCCUUUGAAACUGGUUAUCUUGAGUUAUUAUGAAGUAGUUAGAAUAUGUAGUGUAGCGGUGAAAUGCAUAGAUAUUACAUAGAAUACCAAUUGCGAAGGCAGAUUACUAAUAAUAUACUGACACUGAUGGACGAAAGCGUGGGUAGCGAACAGGAUUAGAUACCCUGGUAGUCCACGCCGUAAACGAUGGAUACUAGCUGUUCGGUGCGGAUUGACUGGCUAAGCGAAAGUGAUAAGUAUCCCACCUGGGGAGUACGUUCGCAAGAAUGAAACUCAAAGGAAUUGACGGGGGCCCGCACAAGCGGUGGAGCAUGUGGUUUAAUUCGAUCAUACGCGAGGAACCUUACCAGGGCUUAAAUGUAGUCUGACAGGAUUGGAAACAGUCUUUUCUUCGGACAGAUUACAAGGUGCUGCAUGGUUGUCGACACCUCGUGCCGUGAGGUGUCAGGUUAAGUCCUAUAACGAGCGCAACCCCUGUUGUUAGUUGCCAGCGAGUCAUGUCGGGAACUCUAACAAGACUGCCGGUGCAAACCGUGAGGAAGGUGGGGAUGACGUCAAAUCAUCACGGCCCUUACGUCCUGGGCUACACACGUGCUACAAUGGUAGGUACAGAGAUCAGCCACUGCGCAAGCAGGAGCGAAUCUACAAAACCUAUCUCAGUUCGGAUCGGAGUCUGCAACUCGACUCCGUGAAGCUGGAAUCGCUAGUAAUCGGAUAUCAGCCAUGAUCCGGUGAAUACGUUCCCGGGCCUUGUACACACCGCCCGUCAAGCCAUGGAAGCUGAGGGUACCUGAAGUCGGUCACCGCAAGGAGCCGCCUAGGGUAAAAUUGGUA
This 1449-nucleotide ribosomal RNA is filed under the name uncultured prokaryote. RNAcentral's name for it is "partial 16S ribosomal RNA". It matches the Rfam family "Bacterial small subunit ribosomal RNA". The record is from RNAcentral.